This 73-nucleotide transfer RNA is filed under the name Kuraishia capsulata CBS 1993. Its description in RNAcentral is "tRNA-Val (CAC) (tRNA-Val-CAC-1-1)". It matches the Rfam family "tRNA". From Rfam's summary of the family: Transfer RNA (tRNA) molecules are approximately 80 nucleotides in length. Their secondary structure includes four short double-helical elements and three loops (D, anti-codon, and T loops). Further hydrogen bonds mediate the characteristic L-shaped molecular structure. tRNAs have two regions of fundamental functional importance: the anti-codon, which is responsible for specific mRNA codon recognition, and the 3' end, to which the tRNAs corresponding amino acid is attached (by aminoacyl-tRNA synthetases). tRNAs cope with the degeneracy of the genetic code in two manners: having more than one tRNA (with a specific anti-codon) for a particular amino acid; and 'wobble' base-pairing, i.e. permitting non-standard base-pairing at the 3rd anti-codon position. The record is from RNAcentral. Lineage: Eukaryota; Fungi; Ascomycota; Pichiomycetes; Pichiales; Pichiaceae.
AGUCGCUUGGUCUAGUGGUUACGACGCCUCGUUCACACCGAGGAGGUCGCGAGUUCGAACCUCGCAGUGACUA